Molecule: ribosomal RNA, 445 nt
Filed under: uncultured bacterium
Lineage: Bacteria
Description: partial 16S ribosomal RNA
Rfam family: Bacterial small subunit ribosomal RNA
Source: RNAcentral
GUGAGGAAUAUUGGACAAUGGGCGCAAGCCUGAUCCAGCCAUGCCGCGUGCAGGAAGACGCAUCUAUGGUGUGUAAACUGCUUUUGUACGGGAAGAAACACUCCCUCGUGAGGGAGCUUGACGGUACCGUAAGAAUAAGGAUCGGCUAACUCCGUGCCAGCAGCCGCGGUAAUACGGAGGAUCCAAGCGUUAUCCGGAAUCAUUGGGUUUAUAGGGUCCGUAGGCGGUUUAAUAAGUCAGUGGUGAAAGCCCAUCGCUCAACGAUGGAACGGCCAUUGAUACUGUUAGACUUGAAUUACAAGGAAGUAACUAGAAUAUGUAGUGUAGCGGUGAAAUGCUUAGAUAUUACAUGGAAUACCAAUUGCGAAGGCAGGUUACUACUUGUGGAUUGACGCUGAUGGACGAAAGCGUGGGGAGCGAACAGGAUUAGAAACCCUGGUAGUCC